GUGGGGAAUAUUGGGCAAUGGGCGAAAGCCUGACCCAGCAACGCCGCGUGAAGGAAGAAGGUUUUCGGAUCGUAAACUUCUAUCCUUGGUGAAGAUAAUGACGGUAGCCAAGAAGGAAGCCCCGGCUAACUACGUGCCAGCAGCCGCGGUAAUACGUAGGGGGCAAGCGUUGUCCGGAAUGAUUGGGCGUAAAGGGCGCGUAGGCGGCCUGGUAAGUCUGGAGUGAAAGUCCUGCUUUUAAGGUGGGAAUUGCUUUGGAUACUGUCGGGCUUGAGUGCAGGAGAGGUAAGCGGAAUUCCCGGUGUAGCGGUGAAAUGCGUAGAGAUCGGGAGGAACACCAGUGGCGAAGGCGGCUUACUGGACUGUAACUGACGCUGAGGCGCGAAAGUGUGGGGAGCAAACAGGAUUAGAAACCCUUGUAGUCC
This 425-nucleotide ribosomal RNA is filed under the name uncultured bacterium. RNAcentral describes it as "partial 16S ribosomal RNA". It matches the Rfam family "Bacterial small subunit ribosomal RNA", at positions 354 to 796 of the family's 1533-position model. The record is from RNAcentral.